This 29-nucleotide non-coding RNA is filed under the name Rattus norvegicus (Norway rat). Lineage: Eukaryota; Metazoa; Chordata; Mammalia; Rodentia; Muridae. The record is from RNAcentral.
UGCAAUUGUCUCCCGUGUUUGUAUCGUAU